Hippocampus comes (tiger tail seahorse) is the source of this 453-nucleotide long non-coding RNA. RefSeq lists it as uncharacterized. NCBI's taxonomy places the organism in Eukaryota, Metazoa, Chordata, Actinopteri, Syngnathiformes, Syngnathidae. The record is from RefSeq and is a predicted model, not a curated record. The transcript has 3 exons.
ACACCCGGAACCGGUUGCCAGCCAAUCGCAACGCUGCCUCAAAAACAUGCCGUGUUCCCGGCAGCGUCUAUUAUUCAGCACUACUUCACAACAAACCACCUGAGACCGGCAAAGAGGCAAAAAGAGAUCCCAGCUGCCACCUGCGCGGUCACAACGGUGCUUCUUCGUGCUCUCGGUGGAGCAGAGUGACAAGGUGGGAGAGUGGAGGAGCAGAGCCAGGUCACCAGGCGAGACAUGACCUUUCACAGCUGUGAAGCCAGCCCGCUGAGCAGCCUUCAGGUACAUGAACGCACUUCACUGGGGGCGCGGGGGGGGGGGACUGAAGGAGCACCGAAUCGUGUUGGGUAGAGUAGUGAGCAAACGCAGCUUCUUCUUCUUCUGUGUUUACAUGCAAAAAUAGACGUGGUGGGAAUUGGGACAUAACGUCACAUGAGCAUUGAAGAAAUGCGAAGU